GAUGAACGCUAGCGGCAGGCCUAACACAUGCAAGUCGAGGGGCAGCACAUAAAGUGGUUUACUACUGUUGGUGGCGACCGGCGGACGGGUGCGUACCGCGUAUGCUACCUGCCUCCAACAGGGGGAUAACGGAGAGAAAUUGCCACUAAUACCCCAUAAUAUCAGAAUCGGCAUCGGUUUUGGUUGAAAACGCCGGUGGUGGGAGUUGGGCAUGCGUUGUAUUAGAUAGUUGGUGAGGUAACGGCUCACCAAGUCAACGAUACAUAGGGGGACUGAGAGGUUAGCCCCCCACAAUGGUACUGAGACACGGACCAGACUCCUACGGGAGGCAGCAGUGAGGAAUAUUGGUCAAUGGGGGCAACCCUGAACCAGCCAUGCCGCGUGCAGGAAGACGGCUCUAUGAGUUGUAAACUGCUUUUACAAGGGGAUAAAUCGGUGUACGUGUACACCGUUGAAGGUACCUUGGGAAUAAGGAUCGGCUAACUCCGUGCCAGCCGCCGCCGUAA
Molecule: ribosomal RNA, 506 nt
Filed under: uncultured bacterium
Lineage: Bacteria
Description: partial 16S ribosomal RNA
Rfam family: Bacterial small subunit ribosomal RNA
Source: RNAcentral